This 160-nucleotide non-coding RNA is filed under the name Triticum aestivum (bread wheat). RNAcentral describes it as "rRNA LSU_rRNA_eukarya". It matches the Rfam family "Bacterial large subunit ribosomal RNA", at positions 2473 to 2632 of the family's 2925-position model. The record is from Rfam by way of RNAcentral. RNAcentral also lists the same sequence under 1 other name. Lineage: Eukaryota; Viridiplantae; Streptophyta; Magnoliopsida; Poales; Poaceae.
GAUAACAGGUUGAUGACUCCCAAGAGCUAUUAUCGACGGAGUCGUCUGGCACCUCGAUGUCGAAUCAUCACAUCUUGAGGUUGAAGAAGGUCCUAAGGGUCCGGUUGUUCACUCAUGAAAGUGGUACGUGAGUUGGGUUUAGAACGUCAUGAGACAGUUC